This 72-nucleotide transfer RNA is filed under the name Ovis aries (sheep). It matches the Rfam family "tRNA". Rfam says of the family: Transfer RNA (tRNA) molecules are approximately 80 nucleotides in length. Their secondary structure includes four short double-helical elements and three loops (D, anti-codon, and T loops). Lineage: Eukaryota; Metazoa; Chordata; Mammalia; Artiodactyla; Bovidae. The record is from Rfam by way of RNAcentral.
UCUCUGGUGGGCCAGUGGCGAAGACGCUAUUCUCAAAUGUAGAGGUCCCAGGUUCGAUCCCUGGUCAGGGAA